Molecule: ribosomal RNA, 1007 nt
Filed under: Bacillus anthracis (anthrax bacterium)
Lineage: Bacteria; Bacillati; Bacillota; Bacilli; Caryophanales; Bacillaceae
Description: bacterial SSU rRNA
Rfam family: Bacterial small subunit ribosomal RNA
Source: RNAcentral
UCGGUUGAAGGGGGGGUGCUAUACAUGCAGUCGAGCGAAUGGAUUAAGAGCUUGCUCUUAUGAAGUUAGCGGCGGACGGGUGAGUAACACGUGGGUAACCUGCCCAUAAGACUGGGAUAACUCCGGGAAACCGGGGCUAAUACCGGAUAACAUUUUGAACCGCAUGGUUCGAAAUUGAAAGGCGGCUUCGGCUGUCACUUAUGGAUGGACCCGCGUCGCAUUAGCUAGUUGGUGAGGUAACGGCUCACCAAGGCAACGAUGCGUAGCCGACCUGAGAGGGUGAUCGGCCACACUGGGACUGAGACACGGCCCAGACUCCUACGGGAGGCAGCAGUAGGGAAUCUUCCGCAAUGGACGAAAGUCUGACGGAGCAACGCCGCGUGAGUGAUGAAGGCUUUCGGGUCGUAAAACUCUGUUGUUAGGGAAGAACAAGUGCUAGUUGAAUAAGCUGGCACCUUGACGGUACCUAACCAGAAAGCCACGGCUAACUACGUGCCAGCAGCCGCGGUAAUACGUAGGUGGCAAGCGUUAUCCGGAAUUAUUGGGCGUAAAGCGCGCGCAGGUGGUUUCUUAAGUCUGAUGUGAAAGCCCACGGCUCAACCGUGGAGGGUCAUUGGAAACUGGGAGACUUGAGUGCAGAAGAGGAAAGUGGAAUUCCAUGUGUAGCGGUGAAAUGCGUAAAGAUAUGGAGGAACACCAGUGGCGAAGGCGACUUUCUGGUCUGUAACUGACACUGAGGCGCGAAAGCGUGGGGAGACAAACAGGAUUAACAUACCCUGUUAAGUCCACGCCAGUAAACGAUGAGUGCUAAGUGUUAGAGGGGUUUCCGCCCCUUUAGUGCUGAAGUUAACGCAUUAAGCACUCCGGCCUGGGGAGUACGGCCGCAAGGCUGAAUACUCAAAGGAAUUGACGAGGGCCCCGCACAGCUGUUGAGCAUGUGUUUAAUUAGAGCAUCUCGAAGAUCUUAUCUGGUCUGACUUUCGCUGAACUAACCUAGGAGUAUAGUG